UACGUAGGGGGCUAGCGUUGUCCGGAAUCAUUGGGCGUAAAGAGCUCGUAGGCGGCUUGUCGCGUCGACUGUGAAAACCCGUGGCUCAACCAUGUGGUCUGCAGUCGAUACGGGCAGGCUAGAAUUCGGUAGGGGAGACUGGAAUUCCUGGUGUAGCGGUGAAAUGCGCAGAUAUCAGGAGGAACACCGGUGGCGAAGGCGGGUCUCUGGGCCGAUAUUGACGCUGAGGAGCGAAAGCGUGGGGAGCGAACAGG
RNAcentral lists this ribosomal RNA (254 nucleotides) under uncultured bacterium. RNAcentral describes it as "partial 16S ribosomal RNA". It matches the Rfam family "Bacterial small subunit ribosomal RNA", at positions 524 to 776 of the family's 1533-position model. The record is from RNAcentral.